This 255-nucleotide ribosomal RNA is filed under the name uncultured bacterium. Its description in RNAcentral is "partial 16S ribosomal RNA". The record is from RNAcentral.
CUGCUGCCUUCCGUAGGAGUCUGGGCCGUAUCUCAGUCCCAAUGUGGCCGGCCAACCUCUCAGUCCGGCUACUGAUCGUCGCCUUGGUAGGCCGUUACCCUACCAACUAGCUAAUCAGACGCGAGGCCAUCUCUCAGCGAUAAAUCUUUGGUACCAGUACCAUGCGAUACCAGUACGUUAUGCGGUAUUAGCAGUCGUUUCCAACUGUUGUCCCCCACUGAAAGGCAGGUUCCUCACGCGUUACUCACCCGUCCG